ACCCCNGGUCAGGCGGGACUACCCGCUGAGUUUAAGC
This 37-nucleotide ribosomal RNA is filed under the name Luffa echinata. RNAcentral's name for it is "partial 25S ribosomal RNA". Lineage: Eukaryota; Viridiplantae; Streptophyta; Magnoliopsida; Cucurbitales; Cucurbitaceae. The record is from RNAcentral.